Ipomoea triloba (trilobed morning glory) is the source of this 296-nucleotide long non-coding RNA. RefSeq lists it as uncharacterized. The transcript is spliced from 2 exons. The record is from RefSeq and is a predicted model, not a curated record. Lineage: Eukaryota; Viridiplantae; Streptophyta; Magnoliopsida; Solanales; Convolvulaceae.
AUUACUACGGUUGCUUCAGAGUCAACAUUUAGUGCUGGUGGUAGAGUUAUUGACACAUAUCGGGCAUCUCUAGGGACAAAUACUGUUCAGAUGCUACUUUGUGGAAGUGAUUGGUUGCGUAACUUAUACAAUCUGAAAAGGAAAGUAAAAUGUACUGAAGAUGUGAAGACUAUAUCACUAGAAUGACUUGGAGUUGAAGAAGCUUUUUUGGAUGUUCCAUGCAAAAUCAGUUACAUUUUAAUGUUUUUGGCUUGUAACUUGUAAGGAUAACAAACAGUUUGUUUGUAUUUUUUUUA